Doryrhamphus excisus (bluestripe pipefish) is the source of this 2641-nucleotide non-coding RNA. Lineage: Eukaryota; Metazoa; Chordata; Actinopteri; Syngnathiformes; Syngnathidae. The record is from RefSeq and is a predicted model, not a curated record.
CAAAUGCUUGACAUACCAAACAAAUACCAAGCCAAUAAAUCGAAGUUUUCAUAUACUGUGUGCUUUAGGUAUCUCAUAGUAACUGAUAAAGCAGACAAAAGGUAUAAUAUCUUCGUUAAUCUGAAGUCCUGUGGCGAAAAAAACCCGCAGCGUCACAUAUUUUCGGUUUUAACUGAGCGUGCGCGCUCCCGCGAGGUGGAUGCAAAAUCCGGGUUAAUUUUUUGAAGUGUUCAACGCUGUUGCAGGCAUGUGUUUGGCCAGCUAUGUGGGGCGGGUUGAGCGUGAACCAGGAAGUGCGGGGAUCUCGUGUGUGCGCGCGCGCUGCUCUGUCGUUGCUGGCUAGUCGAAAAAGAAAGUUGACCGGAAGCAGCAGGCAACCUGUCUGUCUGUCUUUCUCUGACGAAGUCAGGCCGCCCCUUACCACGGUUUGGGGUUGAAAAUAGUGACACUUAACACCGCCACGACCGUGGAGAAGUGCCGAAGUAAACGGUUUGUCUUGCAACACCAUCGUUUUCAAUGGCGCCAAUUUAAUUCGGUAUCGAGUCGGCGUUCCAACACCCUGACGGAGAACACUGGAGUUGCCAUGUAACUCAGACGCCGCACAAGCAAUGCUACAAGAUGAAAUGCCGCUUGUCGCUUAACAGCCCGUGGGAUCCCUCUGCAUCCAUCUCAACAUGAGCUCCAAAUGGGAGCGUCAUCUGAUGCCAUAGGUUCUCCAGUGGACAGUUUCACCUAUUGCACGCACAAGACGGCAUUUUCUGGAGCUUCAACCUUUUGCGUCCAUCAGCAGUCUGUCGGCCCCCGGGGAAGGACUCAUGUAAUCGUGUUGGCAGACCAUCAACAACAUGGCGUCGGCAUUCUUCACAGGUAGGAAGACUUGUUCAAGUAAAUGACAUGAUGGCCUUCAUACAUGUAGCACAAUAACACAGGAUAAAUGAAUAGAUGACAAAAGAUAUGCAAUUCAUACACGAGUGCCAUGACUAAUGCUUUGGCUGUAAAGGUUGCUCUGGCUGUUACAGUACAAUGUUAGCCGGCCACAUGGAGGUCAUUAUAAUUGGCCUACAUGUUUUCCCAGCUCUGACAACUACUCUCUUCUUAAUCACCACUUGUACUCUUUGUAAAAGCUUAAGGCUAAACCAACUGUAACACUUGUCUAUACGAGUGGAGCAUCUGUUGACAACAAUGGAAGUAUUAUUUUGCAAUAAUCUAGUCAUGUUAGUACUUACAAAUAAUGUCACACUUUGUAUAAGGAAUGUUUUCCAGUAUUUCCGGGUUACAAUCACUCAGAAUCAGAAUCAGAAUCAGAAAAGGUUUAUUGCCAUGUAUGAUCAAACACAUACUAGGAAUUUGUUUUGGUGUAGUAGGUGCAUACACAUCUAUUAAAAAAGAAUGAGAGAAAAUAUGAAAUACAAAAUAUGAAAAUACAAAAUAUACAGAAUAACAGUAUAAAUAUAUGUACACAGUCUGUUUUUGUUUGUUAUUCCGGAAGUGCAGUCUGAUUGUUUUCCUAAGAGUCCAAACUGAGCGUUAAUGUAACGUAUACAAUGAAAGUGUCAAAGUGUCAAAGUGGCAGGAUGAGGCAGAGGUGGGGUGUGAAGAGUGUCAUGUGGGGUUCCGGGCCUUGUUGAUGAGGCUGACAGCAGACGGGAAGAAACUGUUCUUGUGGCGUGAGGUUUUGUUCCUGAUGGACCGCAGCCUCCUGCCAGAGGGGAGCGUCUCGAAGAGUCUAUGUCUGGGGUGAGAGGGAUCGGCCACAAUCCUUUCUGCACGCCUCAGGGUCCUGGAAGCGUACAGAUCCUGGAGGGACGGGAGAUUGCAGCCAAUCACCUUCUCUGCAGACCGAAUGACACGCUGCAGCCUGCCACUCCACUUGUUGUGUACUUUUUUGGACCUUUAAAUCCAUUUGUUUCUAUCUUUAUUUUCUCUAAAAUAGUAUUUAUAGUAUUUUAAAUGCAUGCAAGUGACAACUAUAUGGCAGAAUUUCCCAAGAAGAUUAGCAGUGCUUAAAAAACACCACUAGAUGGCGGAAAUUCCCAAGUAUAGUUGCAGUAAUUUUAAGUGCCCACCAGAUGGUGUAAUUUCACAGUUUAAGUUGCAGUAAUUUUAAGUGGCCACCAGAUGGCGGAAUUUCACAGUUUAAGUUGCAGUAAUUUUAAAUGGCCACCAGAUGGCGGAAUUUCACAGUUUAAUUUGCAGUAAUUUUAAGUGGCCACCAGAUGGCGGAAUUUCACAGUUUAAGUUGCAGUAAAUUUAAGUGACCACCAGAUGGCGGAAUUUCACAGUUUAAGUUGCAGUAAUUUUAAGUGACCACCAGAUGGCGGAAUUUCACAGUUUGAGUUGCACUACCUUUAGGUGACCACCAGAAGGCGGAAUUUCACAGUUUAAGUUGCAGUAAUUUUAGGUGACCACUAGAUGGCGGAAUUUCCCAAGGUAAGUUGCAGUAAUUUUAAGUGAACACUAGAUGGCGGAAUUUCAAAGUUUUAGUUGCACUACUUUUAGGUGACCACUAGAUGGCGGAAUUUCACAGUUUAAGUUGCACUACUUUUAGGUGACCACUAGAUGGCGGAAUUUCCCAAGGUGAGUUGCAGUAAUUUUAAGUGACCACUAGAUAGUGGCAUAGGGCUAGGGCUACGGUUGGGGC